CAGCAGCCGCGGUAAGACGAACUGUGCAAACGUUAUUCGGAAUCACUGGGCUUAAAGGGUGCGUAGGCGGUCUUGUAAGUAGGGUGUGAAAGCCCCCGGCUCAACCGGGGAACUGCGUCCUAAACUGCGAGGCUAGAGUGAGGUAGGGGUGUGUGGAACUUCCAGUGGAGCGGUGAAAUGUGUUGAUAUUGGAAGGAACGCCGGUGGCGAAAGCGACACACUGGACCUCGUCUGACGCUGAGGCACGAAAGCCAGGGGAGCAAACGGGAUUAGAUACCCCAGUAGUCCCUGUCUCUUAUAC
RNAcentral lists this ribosomal RNA (301 nucleotides) under uncultured bacterium. RNAcentral describes it as "partial 16S ribosomal RNA". It matches the Rfam family "Bacterial small subunit ribosomal RNA", at positions 509 to 807 of the family's 1533-position model. The record is from RNAcentral.